AAUGGGGACAGUUGAGCAGGACAGUCAAGGGCAAUCCGGUGUAGUCCUCAAACCACGACUGCAACACAAACCGACAGUGGAAAAGAAACAGCCCAGUGCAGUGCAGCAUAGCACUGCAGUGAGAAACAGGAAGGCAGGGAUGGGAAGACAGAGGAAAAAAAGGGAGGGAGAUAUGGAAGAACAACAGAGAGGAAAUCUUAUGGGGAGGAGAGGAAAGCAAGGAAGAGAGAUGCCAAGGUGAACCUCAUCGACAAUUCUGAUAAGCAAAGAAGCCCUUAUUACAGUCUUGAGAUGCCCCAGUAUGCUACUUGGAAGAAAAAAGGGUAAAAAAAUAAGAUAAGAGCCAGAAAAACAUUUACAUAUAUUGCAUUAUCACUGCAUAGAGCUGAUAUGGAAUACUUGUUAGCAAACAAAUUCCUGUCGUAUUAUCCUGCAGACACUGCAAAAUUUCAAAUUGCAUGGGCAGUGACUAAACAUACAGUAAUGUGCAAAGCUAUUG
Oreochromis niloticus (Nile tilapia) is the source of this 499-nucleotide long non-coding RNA. RefSeq lists it as uncharacterized. The record is from RefSeq and is a predicted model, not a curated record. The transcript is spliced from 3 exons. Lineage: Eukaryota; Metazoa; Chordata; Actinopteri; Cichliformes; Cichlidae.